RNAcentral lists this ribosomal RNA (1005 nucleotides) under uncultured bacterium. RNAcentral's name for it is "bacterial SSU rRNA". It matches the Rfam family "Bacterial small subunit ribosomal RNA", at positions 56 to 1061 of the family's 1533-position model. The record is from RNAcentral.
UGCAGUCGAGGGGCAGCACGGGUAGCAAUACCUGGUGGCGACCGGCGCACGGGUGCGUAACACGUAUGUAACCUACCUGUAACUGGGGCAUAGCUCAGAGAAAUCUGGAUUAAUACCCCAUAAUAUCAAAAUCAGGCAUCUGGAUUUGAUUAAAGCUCCGGCGGUUACAGAUGGGCAUGCGGGACAUUAGCUAGCUGGUGAGGUAACGGCUCACCAAGGCUACGAUGUCUAGGGGUUCUGAGAGGAUGAUCCCCCACACUGGUACUGAGACACGGACCAGACUCCUACGGGAGGCAGCAGUAGGGAAUAUUGGGCAAUGGGCGCAAGCCUGACCCAGCCAUGCCGCGUGCAGGAUGACGGCCUUAUGGGUUGUAAACUGCUUUUAUACGGGAAAAAACCUUCGAACGUGUUCGAAGCUGAUGGUACCGUAAGAAUAAGCAUCGGCUAACUCCGUGCCAGCAGCCGCGGUAAUACGGAGGAUGCAAGCGUUAUCCGGAUUUAUUGGGUUUAAAGGGUGCGCAGGCGGACUCUUAAGUCAGUGGUGAAAUCCUACAGCUUAACUGUAGAACUGCCAUUGAAACUGGGAGUCUAGAAUUUAGUUGAAGUGGCUGGAAUGUGUCAUGUAGCGGUGAAAUGCAUAGAGAUGACACAGAACACCGAUAGCGAAGGCAGGUCACUAAGCUAAUAUUGACGCUCAGGCACGAAAGCGUGGGGAUCAAACAGGAUUAGAUACCCUGGUAGUCCACGCCGUAAACGAUGAUAACUAGCUGUUGGCGAUACACAGUCAGUGGCUGAGCGAAAGCAUUAAGUUAUCCACCUGGGGAGUACGACCGCAAGGUUGAAACUCAAAGGAAUUGACGGGGGCCCGCACAAGCGGAGGAGCAUGUGGUUUAAUUCGAUGAUACGCGAGGAACCUUACCUGGGCUCGAACGUAGAGCGACGUAUGCCGAAAGGUAUAUUCCCUUCGGGGCGAACUACGAGGUGCUGCAUGGUUGUCGUCAGCUC